This is a long non-coding RNA of Coffea arabica (coffee), 4844 nucleotides long. RefSeq lists it as uncharacterized. The record is from RefSeq and is a predicted model, not a curated record. Lineage: Eukaryota; Viridiplantae; Streptophyta; Magnoliopsida; Gentianales; Rubiaceae.
UCGGGAGUGGAUUUGCUCUCUUAUUUUUUUUUAUGAAAAUAAAUUAUACUAGGAUAGUUGAAAGUACUAUCUCAAACAUUAGCACAGAAUAAUUUGCGUUCUGGAGAUGGUUUCUUCCAGUUAUGCAGUCAUUCAUCUCGCCUUCGUGAAGGUGCAAGAUGAUUUUAGGAUAAGAUUUAAUUUUGCUGAGGAUUCUGGAAUGCCAUCAAUUGACUCCAGUGAUGAAUCCCUUAACUUGUCCAGUUAUCUGUAUCGAUAUAGCCAUCAACUUGACAAAGAUUGGAUGUUUCUGAGGAUGUUUACAGUUUCUAUCCACAGGUGGAGUGAUGCAGGGAAGCUUUUGCAGAACUCGGGACGUAGUGAAUGGGUAUAUCUGGUUGUCACCAUUGAAGCCGUAGCCAAAGAGCUUCUUGAAAGAGUUCUCAACAAAUGCUGUUCAAAUCCUUCAGAGCUGCUCAACUUACUUGAGAGAAUUGCAAACGAAGGACUGAUCAUUUCAUGGCCGAAGUUGGACAAGUUCUUGAUUAUAUUUCGCGGUCAGGUACCGGCUCAUAUCAUCUGGAUCCUGACUUCAUUUACGACUAUUCUCAGUUGUCAGAGAUUUUGGGCUCCGUAAUUGAGGGUCUGGUUUUUCUGGAGAACACCAGUUAUGGCGUCAAUGAUCCUGAUCUUAGAAAACAAGUCUGUGCUUUCCAUGGGGAGCUGAACUUGAUGGAAAGGUACCUUUAAUUUUAUGAUGUAAAUGCUACUUCCAUCUCCAACUUCUGCUGCAUUAGUGGCAGUGAGAAUGUAAUUCAGGCUUUUCUAGCUCAUGUUGCAUCUGUCCUUGUGCGCGCCGCAAUUCAGUACGGUAAUUACUGGAUUGGCCAGAAAACAGAUCAAAUCCAAGUGGCAAACCAUAUGCUCAAUUUUGGACUUGCAUCUUUGCUGCAUGAGAUUGAUCCUACUAAUCUAGAGUUCCUAGAUUCCAGUCACAAUUUCCUAAAAGCUCUAAAUAAAUUCAGCACAUCACAAACUGUUAUGCCAAUAUCUUCUCAAUGGGAGAGGGGACUCUGAUCUUGAAAAUGAGUUCAAGUCUUUGGUGACCUUUGUUAUCUACAAUAAACCAGAGGACAAAAACUCCCAUGAGGAUGUGCGAAGUAUCUGUGCAGAAAUUAUGGCAUUGCUUGCAGAGGCUGCUUCUCGCCAUGAGAUGGGACGGGACAAAGCUGAAGCAAUUUGUCCUUUGUGUUCUGAGCUGCUUAAAAACGCUUGCCUUCUCAAGACAGUGCUUCGUUAAGGAGCAACUGAAAGAAAGAGCUUGUCCUCUGAAAAUUGGAGAAAUCAAUGAGGUUUUGGAAAGUCAGAGAAGAUUUACAACAGAUGUACCCCAUGAGAACAUAGAGAAUGGAAAUCAGAUGUUGGCAUUCACAAAAGAAGUGGCUAAGGAUGUUGCAUCUCUACCUCAGCAUGUCAGCAAAGGAAAAAAAAUCUAUGGUGAAAGAACUCACUUCUCUGUUUGCUUUUCAAGAUUGUGAUUUUCAAGGCAGAGUUAUUUUUGUUUGAGUUACUGAAGAGCACUAAUACAAGUAUUAUGGUUCUUGACAAAUUCUCCCGAGUCAAAUGCACCAGUGAGGUGUCAUUUUGAAGAAAUUCAACUACAUCUUAAUUCAUUGACUCCUUUACUUGUUAACGUCUCAGAGUUGGACAUUGAUAAGCAUCGAGAACUAAAAGUUUUUGGGAAUCAAGUAAUGGAUGUAGCAUACAGAAUUGAAGAUGUUAUCGACUCGCUGGAGUCUGAUGCUCAUAGGCUACAUCUCAUAUGGUUUUAUGAUUUACUAGAUGAAUUAAAACUGCUCAGUGAGGAGGCCUCCAUUAUGCAUGUGACAACCCCUGAUGCUCAAGUCCAAAAUAUCAACAAUGUCACGCAGGUUUCAAGCAACAUGAUAUCAAAGGAUGUUAUACCAGUAAUGAAUGAAUUGAUGGUGGAUCGAAGGGAGGAAGAAGAAGCUAUAAUUGAUCGACUUAUUGCAAGUUCGUCAAGUUGAAAUAUUGUUUCUAUUGUUGGUAUUCCUGUUAUUGGCAAGACAACGUUGGCUAGAAAAGUGUACAACUGCAAACAUGUUACGUAUUGCUUUCUUCGUCGAGCAUGGUGUACUGUUUCACAAACAUAUGAGAAAAGAGAAUUGUUGCUUCAGAUUGAGCGUGACAUUCAAGGGCAUACUGGUGAAAUUCAUCAAAUGAACGCUGCAGAUCUGAAAGCAAAAUUGUGUCAGUCCUUGCUGAGAAAAAGGUACCUCAUAGUUUUGGAUGAUGUAAGGGAUAUUGGAGCAUGGAAGUAUAUGGAAAAUUCAUUGCCAGAUGACAGGAAUGGAAGUAGAAUUUUGAUAACCAGUCGUCUUAGUGAUUUUGCCUUAGAUAUUAAACCCGGUGAUAGUCAUCCUGUCCCAUUACUCUCUGAUGAUGAAAGUUGGGAGUUACCAGAAAAGAAAAUAUUCCGUGGUGGAAGUUGUCCAGAAGAAUUUCUGGAUGCUGGAAAGAAAAUUGCUAAACAGUGCAAAGGAUUACCUCUUUCAAUUGUUGCAAUAGCUGGUCUCCCGGAAAGGAUGGAGAAGAGACGAGAUUAGUGGGAAAAAAUUGCAGAAAGCUUGAGUUCAGAAAUAAUGCAAGAUACAAAAGCUCACACCAUGGAAAUAUUAGACUUGAGCUACAAGCACCUACCGGGACAUCUAAAAGCGUGCUUCCUUUAUUUUGCAGUUUUUCUUGAAGACAAAGUGAUUCUUGUCAGUAAGUUGAUGCAAUUUUGGCUAGCCGAAGGGUUCAUAAAGAAAUCCCAGUCAAAGAACAGAGAAGAUGUCGCGGAGGACUACUUGAUGGACUUGAUAAACAGAAGCUUGGUUGCAAUAUCCAAAAAAUGUUCAAAUGGAAAGGUCAAAGCAUGUUGUCUUCAUUAUCUGAUAUGUGAUUUUUGCAGGUCAAAAGCAAAAGAAGAGAAUUUCUUACAGCUCGUAACCAGGUGUGAUGAAACCUAUGCUUCUUUUCCUGGUUCAGAUUAUGGUUUAGAGGUUGAUUUUGACCUCCAUUUAGAUCCUGUAUCAUAUGAAGCUUAUCCAUUGAGCAGUUUUUUGAAGCGGAAACAAUUUUUGGGUUCAAGACCAUCUGGACCUGGCACCUGUACUUUGAUAUUCUUUACCUCUACUGAUUCAGAGCCUAGAUGUCCUUAUGACAUCUCAUUCAUUUGUAGAAACUUUUUAAAUUUCUUCGGGUUUUGGAUUCCGAAUGUAUCAACCUGGGUGUUUCUUUUCCAGCUGAACUAGUACUGCUGGUUCGAUUGAGAUAUUUAGCAGUCAGUGGGUUCAUACGGAAUGUUCCACGAUCAAUAGCCAACCUCAAGAAACUAGAAACAUUUUGUGCGACUGGUUUCCAUGGAAGGUCAUCUUACCAGAUAUUAUUUGUCACCUGCCAAGUUUAAGGCAUCUUCAUGUUAAGAAACAUGUUGCUUUCAACUUGCAAGAUGAAGAGGUUGGAAGUUCUUUUGAUCUAUAGAAUUUGGUCAGCUUUUCCUUGCCAGCACUUUCUUAUGGGGAAGAUACGGAGAAGAUACUUAAAAGGUUACCUAACUUGGCCAUGUUGAGAUGCAUAUUCUUGGAAUCAUGGGAUUCUUCCAAGAAUAUGAACCAAUUUCAGAGAUUGAAUUCUCUGUUUCAUUGGAGACACUAGAUAUUUUACUUUGGUUGGUUUCUUAGUGCCAGCUACCUGAUUCUGCCACUGAAUCUAAAGAAUAUGAACCUACCAUGGAAUCAUAUUUCUGUGACAGGAAGGCUACCAAAACUUCAAGUGCUGCCUUUGUUGGGCGAAGAUGGGACAUGAGAGAAGAAGAGUUCCAGGAACUUAAAUUCUUGAAGUUAGAGACCGUGAACAUUGCCCAGUGGAACGCCUGUAGUGAUCACCUUCCCAAAUUUGAAUGAUUAGUGCUACAAAAUUGCAAAAAUCUUGAGGAAAUUCCUUAUGAUUUUGGGGCCAUACCAACCCUCGAGACCAUCGAGGUGCAUUGGUGUGGCCAAUCUGCAGAAGCGUCUGCAAAAGAAAUUGGGGAAGCAACUUAUGAGAUCAAAGUCCUGAUCAGUAGUUCAUAAUUGAGAUCAUCGGUAUAAAUCAUGAAGGACAUUGUGAAAUACCAAAAUAGCAAGCACAUUUCUGUGGAGAAGCUGAUUCAUCCAAGUACAGAAAAAGCACUUGUUUCUGAUUCUUUCUGAUGGUAAAUUCUGGAGGCCAGCAUGUGCAUAUUAUAUGAAGAUUGUCCUGGAGCUGCCUUUACAUUGUCAGUGUGCUGUUUAUGGUGAAUCUCAGGUUAUCAGUUUCAUCUUUUGAGAUUGAUGUCCGAAUCAUUGACCUGGGAUAGUUUUCGUCUUCCCUGUGCAGCCACUUCUUGGAGAACCUGAUUACUGUUGCCGAUUGACCUUAAGCCCAUUAUCAAAUAAUUGCAGCCAAGAAAGAUGCUGCAUUGUUUGUGCAAAAGGUUUCAGCAGCUAAUUGAUGAUGGCAGUUCUCAGAUGGAUGUCCACCUAGCAAACGCUGUGAUAGGUCAAGGCUGAAGGAAGAAGAGACUGGAAAUGCAGAAAAUGUAUACUAUGUUCAUCAAAAUGAGCUUGUCAUACUAAAGACAGGAAAAGAGAAAAUGCCAAAUUGAGCAAGAAUUAAGAAAGAAAUAAAACAAGCUAUUUUGCAAAGAGCCACAUCGAAGUUGCCACCCGUCCAGGAAGUGAAGGCAUAUAUGUAAAAAGCCAUGAAUUGCAAGUUCAUCCCUCUAUUGACUCCUGCAGUCUUGGAUUUUUUUUUUAAAUCAAUGAUUAAUCUUUUCUAUA